This is a long non-coding RNA of Lynx canadensis (Canada lynx), 555 nucleotides long. RefSeq lists it as uncharacterized. Lineage: Eukaryota; Metazoa; Chordata; Mammalia; Carnivora; Felidae. The record is from RefSeq and is a predicted model, not a curated record. The transcript is spliced from 4 exons.
CUUGAUUAGGUCCUGGUCAGUGGUGCCUGGAGGAAGGCCUCGAAUGUACAGCUAGUACAUCAUUCCUGGCUGGAACAUACGUGCGUGAUAUUGUGUCCUUCUCAGGGUAUCAUAUCCACAGGAGUUAUAAGAUCAUUUUUCUCCGCUUCAAGAGCACUGACUUGGACAGCUGGAAUUGUGGUGACAAGGAACGUACGCUAAUACUUUUUCAUUUAACCAGAACAAGGGUGAAGUGGCACGCACAAACAUGGAGAGCCAAAGAUGUGCAUCCAGAAUCAGAGGAAGACCAGAGCAGGGCAGCUUACACACUGUAGCUAUUUCCACACAAAACCACCAGCUGUGAGAAAAGCCUGGCCUAUUCCCGGAAAAGUAAUACUUCCACUUAUGUUUCAAUUGUUACUGAUACACACAAAACUGAAACUAAAACACAAGUUUACUUUUUUUGUGGAACAAAAGCGGUAAAACCUAUCUGGGCAGAGAUUAGCUUCCCAUUGUAGGUAGCAUCCUAAAAAUAAAACGCAUUGCCAGUUUUUAAUAUGAUUGCAUCUUUUAGUG